AGAGUUUGAUCCUGGCUCAGGACGAACGCUGGCGGCGUGCUUAACACAUGCAAGUCGAACGAGAAUCUGUGGAAAGAGGAUUCGUCCAAUUGAAGCAGAGGACAGUGGCGGACGGGUGAGUAACGCGUGAGGAACCUGGCCUUUCAGAGGGGGACAACAGUUGGAAACGACUGCUAAUACCGCAUGACACAUAGGUGUCGCAAUGGCACUUAUGUCAAAGAUUUAUCGCUGAAAGAUGGCCUCGCGUCUGAUUAGCUAGUUGGUGAGGUAACGGCCCACCAAGGCGACGAUCAGUAGCCGGACUGAGAGGUUGAACGGCCACAUUGGGACUGAGAUACGGCCCAGGACUCCGUACGGGAGGCA
This 363-nucleotide ribosomal RNA is filed under the name uncultured bacterium. RNAcentral's name for it is "bacterial SSU rRNA". It matches the Rfam family "Bacterial small subunit ribosomal RNA", at positions 8 to 350 of the family's 1533-position model. The record is from RNAcentral.